AUUGAACGCUGGCGGCAGGCUUAACACAUGCAAGUCGAACGAUGAAACUCUAGCUUGCUAGAGAAGAUUAGUGGCGGACGGGUGAGUAACAUUUAGGAAUCUGCCUAGUAGUGGGGGAUAGCUCGGGGAAACUCGAAUUAAUACCGCAUACGACCUACGGGUGAAAGGGGGCGCAAGCUCUUGCUAUUAGAUGAGCCUAAAUCAGAUUAGCUAGUUGGUGGGGUAAAGGCCUACCAAGGCGACGAUCUGUAACUGGUCUGAGAGGAUGAUCAGUCACACCGGAACUGAGACACGGUCCGGACUCCUACGGGAGGCAGCAGUGGGGAAUAUUGGACAAUGGGGGCAACCCUGAUCCAGCCAUGCCGCGUGUGUGAAGAAGGCCUUUUGGUUGUAAAGCACUUUAAGCAGGGAGGAGAGGCUAAUGGUUAAUACCCAUUAGAUUAGACGUUACCUGCAGAAUAAGCACCGGCUAACUCUGUGCCAGCCGCCGCGGUAAUACAGAGGGUGCGAGCGUUAAUCGGAAUUACUGGGCGUAAAGCGAGUGUAGGUGGCUCAUUAAUCCAUGUGAAAUCCCCGGGCUUAACCUGGGAACUGCAUGUGAUACUGGUGGUGCUAGAAUAUGUGAGAGGGAAGUAGAAUUCCAGGUGUAGCGGUGAAAUGCGUAGAGAUCUGGAGGAAUACCGAUGGCGAAGGCAGCUUCCUGGCAUAAUAUUGACACUGAGAUUCGAAAGCGUGGGUAGCAAACAGGAUUAGAUACCCUGGUAGUCCACGCCGUAAACGAUGUCUACUAGCCGUUGGGGUCCUUGAGACUUUAGUGGCGCAGUUAACGCGAUAAGUAGACCGCCUGGGGAGUACGGCCGCAAGGUUAAAACUCAAAUGAAUUGACGGGGGCCCGCACAAGCGGUGGAGCAUGUGGUUUAAUUCGAUGCAACGCGAAGAACCUUACCUGGUCUUGACAUAGUGAGAAUCCUGCAGAGAUGCGGGAGUGCCUUCGGGAACUCACAUACAGGUGCUGCAUGGCUGUCGUCAGCUCGUGUCGUGAGAUGUUGGGUUAAGUCCCGCAACGAGCGCAACCCUUUUCCUUAUUUGCCAGCGGGUUAAGCCGGGAACUUUAAGGAUACUGCCAGUGACAAACUGGAGGAAGGCGGGGACGACGUCAAGUCAUCAUGGCCCUUACGACCAGGGCUACACACGUGCUACAAUGGUAGGUACAGAGGGUUGCUACACAGCGAUGUGAUGCUAAUCUCAAAGAGCCUAUCGUAGUCCGGAUUGGAGUCUGCAACUCGACUCCAUGAAGUCGGAAUCGCUAGUAAUCGCAGAUCAGAAUGCUGCGGUGAAUACGUUCCCGGGCCU
This 1353-nucleotide ribosomal RNA is filed under the name uncultured bacterium. RNAcentral's name for it is "bacterial SSU rRNA". It matches the Rfam family "Bacterial small subunit ribosomal RNA", at positions 28 to 1381 of the family's 1533-position model. The record is from RNAcentral.